AAACGGCGACGCUUUCGAGCUUAGCUUUUAUAUCCAUAACACCUGUGAACUAUUUGCCUUUGGGCACCAACCUAAACAUAAUGUAAUGAAUGUAAACUAUUAUAACAAAUACAACUUUCAACAACGGAUCUCUUGGCUCU
This 140-nucleotide unclassified non-coding RNA is filed under the name rhizosphere metagenome. RNAcentral's name for it is "partial ribosomal RNA internal transcribed spacer region". The record is from RNAcentral.